RNAcentral lists this ribosomal RNA (373 nucleotides) under uncultured organism. Its description in RNAcentral is "bacterial SSU rRNA". It matches the Rfam family "Bacterial small subunit ribosomal RNA", at positions 526 to 896 of the family's 1533-position model. The record is from RNAcentral.
CGGAGGGCGCGAGCGUUGUUCGGAAUCACUGGGCGUAAAGCGCGCGCAGGCGGGACUAGCAAGUCGGGAGUGAAAUCUCGGAGCUCAACUCCGAGGCUGCUUCCGAAACUGCGGACCUGGAGACUGGUAGAGGUGGGUGGAAUUCCCGGUGUAGCGGUGGAAUGCGUAGAGAUCGGGAAGAACACCGGUGGCGAAGGCGGCCCACUGGGCCAGUUCUGACGCUGGGGCGCGAAAGCGUGGGGAGCAAACAGGAUUAGAUACCCUGGUAGUCCACGCCGUAAACGAUGGGCACUAGGUGCCGGGGGGAGCGACCCCGUCGGUGCCGUAGCUAACGCGAUAAGUGCCCCGCCAGGGGAGUACGGCCGCAAGGCUG